UUAGAAUAAUAGUAUUCUGGCAUUACGUGAGUAUGAUUUUCUUUUCUCCAGCCCCUGUUUCUAGACUUUGUAAAUUUGUACAUUGACAACUAGUUGGUCCAGCUUCUUGGGUUUUUUUUUUUUUUUUUAAAAAAAACGACUGCUGGGCCCAAAGUGCCGUUGAUAUUACAGGUUGCCAUUACUUUUUAUGAGCUAGUUUGCGAUGCCAGUUGGAUGGAUUCUCUUUUCCUAACGGCAGUGGAAUAUCUAUGUCAGCUUCUGGCGGCCGAUGACUCUGUCACCAGUCCAUUUGAGAGACUGCCAACUCUCAUGGAAGAUCUGGGUGGACGUUGCAGUUCUGGAUAGGUUUGUGUGUUCUCUUUUCCAAGGAGAAAGAAAUGGUGGUGGAAUUGCAUGUGUCUAACUCUUAACUAUUUCUUAUCAGAGUUUUAGUUCUUGUGGGCUUAUGAAUUCAUCUUGUCUUAGUAACAAAGUGUCAACAAAAUGUACUGAAAAGGGUUUUCUUUUAAAAAUGAUAAGAGAAACUAUUCCAGCGAAUAGUUUGCAAACUAGAGAGAUACAGUUCUGGAGAACAAAGAGAGGAUUUUUUCUUUCUCUCUUUCUUUCUUUCUUUUUUUUUUUUUAAUAGAGUUCCUGCCCAAGGUUCCCACUGGUCUGCUAGGCAACUGAGGAAUGCAAACUUGUUUAGUUCUGAUUGGUUGAUGCUUGUUGGGUUCUGACUGGUUGACACUUGGGAUCUCAUGGGUUGAUGUUUGUUGAAUUCUCAUGGGUUGACAUUUGUUGGGUUCUGACCGGUUGACACUUGGGAUCUCAUGGUUUUAUGUUUGUUGAGUUCUCAUGGGUUGACAUUUGUUGGGUUCUGAUUGGUUGAUACUUGUUGAGUUCUGACUGGUUGCUGCUUUUUGGGUUUGAUGGGUUGAUGCUUGUUGGCUUCUGACUGUUUGAUGCUUGUUAAGUUCUGACUGGUUGAUGCUUAUUGAGUUCUGACUGGUUAAUGCUUGUAGGCUUCUGACUUGUUGGCUUCUGACUGGUUGACACUCAUUGGGUUCUGAGGGGUUGGUGCUUGUUGAGUUCAGACUGGUUGACACUUGUUGGGUCCUGAUGGGUUUGUGCUUGUUGAAUUCUGACUGGUUGACACUUGUUGAGUUCUGAUUAGUUGGUGCUUGUUGAGUUCUGAUGGGUUAGCAUUCAUUGGGUUCUAUCUAACUGGUUGAUGCUCAUUGAGUUCUGACUGUUUGACACUUGUUGGACUCUCAUGGGCUGAUGCUUAUUGAGUUCUGAUAGGUGGACACUUGAUGAGUUCUGAUGGGUUGACACUUACUGGGUUCUGACUGUGGGCACUUGCUGAGUUCUGAUGAGUUUGGCACUUGGGUUCUGAUGACUCAACACUUGUUGAGUUCUGAUGGGUCGACACCUGAUGAGCUCUGACUGUUUGACACUUACUAGGUUCUAACUGGUUGACACUUAUUGAGUUCUGACUAGUUGAUGCUUAUUGAAUUCUGAUUGGUUGACACAGAUCACAGUCUGUUGAUUGAUUCAGGCUACAUGAAUAGGAAUCGACAGUUGUGAAAGUCUCAAAGUUGUAAGAAUGUUUGGGUUUUCCAGGAACUCAGAGCACAUGUGUGAGCUCUUGUCAGCAAAUGGCCACUUGACCCUGUUUUGAAUUUAGUCCCAUUGAGUGACUUGGGAUCCACCUUGAAGCACUGACUCCUUCAGGGUUCACAGAAAAUGUAGGAGAACCCACCAUUUGAACCAUUUGCCUACAUCUUGAUCCCAUACCUUUAUUUUCUUACUCUUGACCUGAUUUGGCCUAACAUUUUCCAUCCUUUUUUCUUCACUGAAGUUUAGCUUAGUUUUCUGUUCUUUAAAUGUGUUCUUUAAGUAAUGACAGAUCAUCCUCAUUCUAGGCUCCAAAGAUAGUAAUAAGAUGUACUCUUUCUAGACAGGCGGAAUGAAUUUUGAUGGCUCAGUUUUUUAAAAUGUAUAUCUUUUUGAGGGCUUUGGUUAGCCUUUCAAAUUUGAAUUAGUCAAUAUUUUAAAUGGUUUAAUUAUUUUUAAAAAUUUUAAUAUUAUAAGAUGUAUAAUAUUAUAAUAUGUUUCAUAUUGUAAAUGUUACAGCAUUUGUGACAAUGAAAAUAAGUCUUAAACAUCCCAGAAAUAAAACCACUUAAUCAUGUAUAGAGUUCUCUAUCAAUAUCUACUUUAUUCAUUGUUACAUGGGCUUCAAAAUUCUAUUGCAAUUUAUGAAGCUUGAGCUAGGCAAUCUAGUAAGACCCUGUCUCUACAGAAAAUGAAAAACUUAGCUGGACAUUGUGGUGCAUGCCUGUAGUCCUAACUACUCAGGAGGCUGAGGUAGGAGGAUUGCUUGAGCCCAGGCGUUAUAUGUAGAUGUGGAUGUGGAUGUGGAUGGAUGGAUGGAUGGAUGGAUGGAUGGAUGGAUAGAUAGAUAGAUAGAUAGAUAGAUAGAUAGAUAGAUAGAUAGAUAUAGAUAACUAGACAGAUGAUAGAUAAUAGGUUGAUAGGGAUAGAUGAUACAUUGUUAGAUAGAGUUUCUCACGCAAAAGCCCUGAGUUUCUCUAACUGAGCACUACUGACAUCUGAGCCUGGGUGAUAACAAUGAGACUCCGUCUAAAAAAAAAAAAAAAAAUUGUUAUAAACCAUCUUUCCCCAUUCCUCUAACUUCUGAACAUUGCAACUAAUCACAUAGUAAAGUGUUCCCACAUCAUGUUAGGUUAUUAAUGCCAAAUAAAACUUUUAUUUGUUAUGAGUGCCCAUUUUGUGUUUUGUUUUAUAGUCUGUGUGUAACAUGUGAAUAUUCGCUGGUAGAUGUGGACCUGCCAUAUUUCUGUAACAUUUGGAAGUAAAUUAGUAGAUGUUUUGAAGUAGUUUAUUGUCUCUUUUGCCAAUUAUAUUGAAUAAUAGUGAGAUUACAGUGCAUUUUAUUUCUAUAUUGAGAAUUAUUUUUGUUCCUAAGUUUACCCUUCUGCUUUGUAUUAAGUGAAAGCUGCUCGUGGAAGGCAUUUUUCUGCUAAAAUGUACAUCUAGGUUGCUGGAAAUCUGCUUUUUUCCAGAACUCUUUAGUACCUCAGAGUUUUCCUACAGGCAUUCCGGACUUUUGCCCCACAUUUGCUUUUUGAUCUAUCUCCACUACCACUGGCAUUCUCAUUGUGGUAGGAGUUAUUAAGAAAUUAUUUUAGGCAGAUAGAGAGGAAAAGGGGUCCUUGGAAAGUUUUCGUUUCUUUUAAAGCAGCUCCAGAAACGUUUCUUGUCUAUCAGGAAAGCCCAGGCUCUUAGACUCGGGGGCAACCUUUGAUAUGCAAAUGCAGAACAUUAGAAACUGGGUCCAUCCAAACAUAGCGAUUCCCGCCCUCUUCUUCUUGCCCUUGCCCCACAUGUGCCUGGCAGCAUGGCUGCCCCCACAUAUCCCCACGUGUGUAGAACAUCAUGGCGCACCGUAUUUGCAUAUUAAAAGGCUAGGGUGGGAAGGCCAGUUUUUUUCAUGGGCUACAUAAAGACAUGCCUGGUCAAACCAAUCCCCUAAGCCCUGUGCAAAUCAGAUCGCCUCCUCCAGCCUCCUCAUAUAAUUGGCCAGUAUCCCCACAGGAGGCAGGAGGGGCCUCCCCUCUCGCCUUUGGAGCCCCCCUCCCUCUGUCUCUGUACAGGGGAGCUGCUUCUUUCUUGCCUAUUAAACUCUCCACUCCUUUAAACCAUUCCACAUGUAUCCAUGUUGUUUUAUCUAAACUAGUGAGAGGACCAAGAACCCUGGUGUUCCUCCACUCAUUGGGGCCGCAUCAUCAUCACACCUUAAAAGCCAGCCAAGCCAGAUGAAAAGAACUCCUUAAAUAUUAGGCUGCCACUGUCCUCUCAAGACUCUGAGAGAUUAAGUCUCCUGUAUGGCAAAAAACCAAAAAACCAAAAAAACAAAAAACAAAAAAAAA
This 3938-nucleotide long non-coding RNA is filed under the name Macaca fascicularis (crab-eating macaque). RNAcentral's name for it is "lncRNA (ENSMFAG00000060856.1)". The record is from RNAcentral. Lineage: Eukaryota; Metazoa; Chordata; Mammalia; Primates; Cercopithecidae.